CAGGUUUACGCAUUAGAAUAGUCAACUUAUUUUUCAAGAUAUUGGCAUGUCUCCUGUACAUAUUUCGCGUGUGCGCUGAUGGAGAUCCCAUUAAUGCUACUUGCUACGGCUGUAUGCCGGGUAACAAGAGUGUGUUCGAGUACUCCGCUAAGCUGACAGAAGAGGAGUUCCAGGAACGUCCUAUCAUCAACUGGGAUGGUAUCGUGUGGGUUAACCGCCCACUGUUCUUGUGGGUGCUGCAGGUCAUCCUCGCGAUGAUAUCGCUCUCCGAGGCUAUUCUGUUAGCCUACCUCGGGUACAAGGGCAACAUUUGGCAACAGAUUCUAUCCUUCCAUUUCAUACUGGAGAUGGUGAACACGGUCCCAUUUGCCCUGACGCUACGCAAUUAAAUUGUUUGUUUUUCUAUUAUAAAAAUUCACAAAUUAAUACGUAUUUUUUAUACUUACAGAUCCUCUAUCCUCCUUUGAGAAACCUGUUCAUACCAGUUUUUCUGAACUGCUGGCUAGCGAAACGAUCCCUUGAGAAUAUAUUUAAUGACCUGCACCGAGCUAUGCAGAAGUCACAAUCAGCCCUGUCGCAGCAACUGAUGAUUCUAUGCGUUACUCUUCUAUGUCUCGUCUUUACCAGUAUGAAUCGACAAAACAACGAGAUUCGACGAGGCCGUAGCCGAAUCCCACAGCGUUUUCGUGACCACACCCCACAGCGAGAUCGUACGAGAACUCCACGGAGUAGUAGGAGUAAAGCGGUGUGGCGAAGCCGUAG
This is a long non-coding RNA of Pieris napi, 762 nucleotides long. RefSeq lists it as uncharacterized. The transcript is spliced from 5 exons. NCBI's taxonomy places the organism in Eukaryota, Metazoa, Arthropoda, Insecta, Lepidoptera, Pieridae. The record is from RefSeq and is a predicted model, not a curated record.